This 538-nucleotide long non-coding RNA is filed under the name Gossypium barbadense (sea-island cotton). RNAcentral describes it as "long non-coding RNA (GBAR_LNC004653)". The record is from RNAcentral. Lineage: Eukaryota; Viridiplantae; Streptophyta; Magnoliopsida; Malvales; Malvaceae.
UAAAAGUUUUCCCUAUAUCCCUAAAAGUUUCCUCUCUAAAGAUUUACAACAUCUCUUCCACACGGAUUCUACCUGUUAUAAUCUGCUCUAAAGAUGGAAUCCUUGCAAUAAUCGAACAAGGUAAGCAAUUCCUUAAGCACAACUAUUAUGAAUUGGACAAAACAAUAGUUAAGCUCAAACCCUCUUAUCCCCAUCAAUCUAUUCAUUUGCAGCAAAACCCAAGUCCGUAAACUAUCCCAAAGUCUCAUUCUCGGUAUUUGCAGCCAAAGCCAAUAAAAUAUCCACCUUUCGAUUCUUAGCUCAACUCUUAUCGUAAAGAAGAAGUUCGUGUCACCAAAAAAGACAAGACUCAAUUCACAGUUGUUUAUCAGAGACAAAUCCUCAUUUGACAUCUUCUAGUCUGAAAUCCAAAACUAGAGGUAAGGUAGAAACAUGAUUCUCUUCUUUCUAUUUUGCUUUACGAAGUUGUCUUUGUUAUGAUUUCAAGUUUUGUACUUUUUCUCGGCAACCAAACAAAGGGUAACUUUAAAAAGACGGG